Myxocyprinus asiaticus (Chinese sucker) is the source of this 177-nucleotide long non-coding RNA. RefSeq lists it as uncharacterized. The record is from RefSeq and is a predicted model, not a curated record. The transcript has 3 exons. NCBI's taxonomy places the organism in Eukaryota, Metazoa, Chordata, Actinopteri, Cypriniformes, Catostomidae.
UCAGAGGAAGACGGGAUGACAUGCUGGAUUUUCAUGAGGGAACUGUUGAGGAUAGACUGUUAGAAUGAGUGCUUCAUAGGAAGAUUUAUGAGCGCUCCACAGGAUGCUGGAUCUGCUGAAGUUGUGUGAGACAAGACAGUUAAAAGUUACAGGGAACUGUUGAGGAGAGAGGAGGAG